Molecule: ribosomal RNA, 345 nt
Filed under: Triticum aestivum (bread wheat)
Lineage: Eukaryota; Viridiplantae; Streptophyta; Magnoliopsida; Poales; Poaceae
Description: partial small subunit ribosomal RNA
Source: RNAcentral
AUGACGGUACGCGGCAUACAACCACCAUCCAUCCCUCGCCUGUUAGGUCGCGCCCUCCAUCCCUUGACUCAUGUGACUGCUAUAGUGCUCAGCUCACAAGCUAUGACAUACAAAGGUUGGGAAGGAUCACCCAUGAUGCUAUUUUUUUUUUCUGACAACAUGGUUCGACCUGAUGGGAUCAAUAUCCCCGAUGCUAAGUUCUACCUAGUAGAUGCUCGAUAUGCAUGUCGGCAUGGGGUUCUUCCAUCGUUCAGGAAAAUCAGGUAUCAUCUCAACGAGUUCUCUUCUAGAAACCAUCCUAAGGCUGCCAAGGAAUUGCUAAAUCUCAAACACUCUAGCCUGUGA